CUUUCACUCUGUCGGUAGGCCUAACACAUGCAAGUCGAACGGCAGCACAGUAAGAGCUUGCUCUUACGGGUGGCGAGUGGCGGACGGGUGAGGAAUACAUCGGAAUCUACUUUUUCGUGGGGGAUAACGUAGGGAAACUUACGCUAAUACCGCAUACGACCUACGGGUGAAAGCAGGGGAUCUUCGGACCUUGCGCGAUUGAAUGAGCCGAUGUCGGAUUAGCUAGUUGGCGGGGUAAAGGCCCACCAAGGCGACGAUCCGUAGCUGGUCUGAGAGGAUGAUCAGCCACACUGGAACUGAGACACGGUCCAGACUCCUACGGGAGGCAGCAGUGGGGAAUAUUGGACAAUGGGCGCAAGCCUGAUCCAGCCAUACCGCGUGGGUGAAGAAGGCCUUCGGGUUGUAAAGCCCUUUUGUUGGGAAAGAAAAGCAGCAGGUUAAUACCCCGCUGUUCUGACGGUACCCAAAGAAUAAGCACCGGCUAACUUCGUG
This 492-nucleotide ribosomal RNA is filed under the name uncultured bacterium. Its description in RNAcentral is "partial 16S ribosomal RNA". It matches the Rfam family "Bacterial small subunit ribosomal RNA", at positions 33 to 507 of the family's 1533-position model. The record is from RNAcentral.